GAGGAAUAUUGGUCAAUGGACGUAAGUCUGAACCAGCCAAGUAGCGUGCAGGAUGACGGCCCUAUGGGUUGUAAACUGCUUUUGUAUGGGGAUAAAGUCAAUCACGUGUGAUUGUUUGCAGGUACCAUACGAAUAAGGACCGGCUAAUUCCGUGCCAGCAGCCGCGGUAAUACGGAAGGUCCAGGCGUUAUCCGGAUUUAUUGGGUUUAAAGGGAGCGUAGGCCGGAGAUUAAGUGUGUUGUGAAAUGUAGACGCUCAACGUCUGACUUGCAGCGCAUACUGGUUUCCUUGAGUACGCACAACGUUGGCGGAAUUCGUCGUGUAGCGGUGAAAUGCUUAGAUAUGACGAAGAACUCCGAUUGCGAAGGCAGCUGACGAGAGCGCAACUGACGCUUAAGCUCGAAGGUGCGGGUAUCAAACAGGAUUAGAUACCCUGGUAGUCCGCACAGUAAACGAUGGAUGCCCGCUGUUGGUACCUGGUAUCAGCGGCUAAGCGAAAGCAUUAAGCAUCCCACCUGGGGAGUACGCCGGCAACGGUG
This 539-nucleotide ribosomal RNA is filed under the name uncultured bacterium. Its description in RNAcentral is "bacterial SSU rRNA". It matches the Rfam family "Bacterial small subunit ribosomal RNA", at positions 356 to 896 of the family's 1533-position model. The record is from RNAcentral.